CCUACGGGAGGCAGCAGUGAGGAAUAUUGGUCAAUGGUCGGGAGACUGAACCAGCCAAGCCGCGUGAGGGAUGAAGGUACAGAGUAUCGUAAACCUCUUUUGUCAGGGAACAAAGGCGGGGACGUGUCCCCGGAUGAGUGUACCUGAAGAAACAGCAUCGGCUAACUCCGUGCCAGCAGCCGCGGUCAUACGGAGGAUGCGAGCGUUAUCCGGAUUUAUUGGGUUUAAAGGGUGCGCAGGCGGGCUGUUAAGUCAGCGGUCAAAGCCCGGGGCUCAACCCCGGCCCGCCGUUGAAACUGGCAGUCGCGAGUUGGAGAGAAGUAUGCGGAAUGCGCGGUGUAGCGGUGAAAUGCAUAGAUAUCGCGCAGAACUCCGAUUGCGAAGGCAGCAUGCCGGCUCCACACUGACGCUGAGGCACGAAAGCGUGGGUAUCGAACAGGAUUAGAUACCCCAGUAGUC
RNAcentral lists this ribosomal RNA (459 nucleotides) under uncultured bacterium. Its description in RNAcentral is "partial 16S ribosomal RNA". It matches the Rfam family "Bacterial small subunit ribosomal RNA", at positions 338 to 795 of the family's 1533-position model. The record is from RNAcentral.